AGACGUCUUAUUACAAGACAUCUUAUUCUUAUAAUUGAAUAAUCUUAACUGCUAUUAUCCAAUCAAAUGCCUUCUACUCGUAGCUGAAUUUAAGGGCUAAAUUUACCAAAUCUAAAAGCUAAAUUUAGAAGGAUUAUUAUUUUUCACUCCAUGAACAUAAGUACUGCGAUCAUGCAUUAUCACGGACAGCUUCUUCAUUCGAUGAAUUUGAUGGGUUAGGGAUAUAAGUUGAAGAAGAAACACUUUAAACAUAUUAAUCAUAUCUGCAAACAAAUAAAAGAAAAAGGAAAAGAAAUUGGUUGCCAAAUUC
Molecule: long non-coding RNA, 310 nt
Filed under: Citrus x clementina
Lineage: Eukaryota; Viridiplantae; Streptophyta; Magnoliopsida; Sapindales; Rutaceae
Description: Citrus clementina (C. clementina) long non-coding RNA (CCLE_LNC000255)
Source: RNAcentral